Molecule: ribosomal RNA, 253 nt
Filed under: uncultured bacterium
Lineage: Bacteria
Description: partial 16S ribosomal RNA
Rfam family: Bacterial small subunit ribosomal RNA
Source: RNAcentral
UACGAAGGGUGCAAACGUUGCUCGGAAUUAUUGGGCGUAAAGCGCACGUAGGCGGCUUAGCAAGUCGGAAGUGAAAGCCCUCGGCUCAACCAAGGAAGUGCUUUCGAAACUGCUGAGCUUGAGUACUUAAGAGGAUCGCGGAAUUCCCGGUGUAGAGGUGAAAUUCGCAGAUAUCGGGAGGAACACCGGUGGCGAAGGCGGUUCUCUGGGCCUUAACUGACGCUGAGGAGCGAAAGCAUGGGGAGCGAACAGG